Molecule: non-coding RNA, 350 nt
Organism: Paramormyrops kingsleyae
Lineage: Eukaryota; Metazoa; Chordata; Actinopteri; Osteoglossiformes; Mormyridae
Source: RefSeq, a predicted model, not a curated record
UUCAUACAUUUUACAUAUUUUAUCAAGCACAUUUAACACAUUUUACUAUCAGUAUCAUGCUGAUUUACAAUCGGUGUUUUAUACAUCGCAUAUCAAAUCUCCUGACAUGAAUACUGUACGCGUCAGUAAUGCACACAUAUUUAUGGCAGCACAUUCCUAUGAAGUACUUCCGUACAUCGAAAUUGGCCACACACGUCUUUUAUAAAGUUUCAGCCCAUAAAAAUGACGGUGGGGAGAACCAAUCGAUUGAUACGUCUGUCGAAUCGCGGUACGGUAGGACUACUGGACAAGUUACAGUUGUAUUGCCUUACCGCUUCAAACUAUCUGCCAUGCUGGAUCAACGUGUAGAC